AGUGAACGCUGGCGGUAGGCCUAACACAUGCAAGUCGAACGGCAGCACAGUAAGAGCUUGCUCUUACGGGUGGCGAGUGGCGGACGGGUGAGGAAUACAUCGGAAUCUACUUUUUCGUGGGGGAUAACGUAGGGAAACUUACGCUAAUACCGCAUACGACCUACGGGUGAAAGCAGGGGAUCUUCGGACCUUGCGCGAUUGAUUGAGCCGAUGUCGGAUUAGCUAGUUGGCGGGGUAAAGGCCCACCAAGGCGACGAUCCGUAGCUGAUCUGAGAGGAUGAUCAGCCACACUGGAACUGAGACACGGUCCAGACUCCUACGGGAGGCAGCAGUGGGGAAUAUUGGACAAUGGGCGCAAGCCUGAUCCAGCCAUACCGCGUGAGUGAAGAAGGCCUUCGGGUUGUAAAGCCCUUUUGUUGGGAAAGAAAAGCAGCAGGUUAAUACCCCGCUGUUCUGACGGUACCCAAAGAAUAAGCACCGGCUAACUUCGUG
This 492-nucleotide ribosomal RNA is filed under the name uncultured bacterium. RNAcentral describes it as "partial 16S ribosomal RNA". It matches the Rfam family "Bacterial small subunit ribosomal RNA", at positions 29 to 507 of the family's 1533-position model. The record is from RNAcentral.